RNAcentral lists this ribosomal RNA (468 nucleotides) under uncultured bacterium. RNAcentral's name for it is "partial 16S ribosomal RNA". It matches the Rfam family "Bacterial small subunit ribosomal RNA", at positions 28 to 507 of the family's 1533-position model. The record is from RNAcentral.
GACGAACGCUGGCGGCGUGCUUAACACAUGCAAGUCGAACGGAAAGGCCCUGCUUUUGUGGGGUGCUCGAGUGGCGAACGGGUGAGUAACACGUGAGUAACCUGCCCUUGACUUUGGGAUAACUUCAGGAAACUGGGGCUAAUACCGGAUAGGAGCUCCUGCUGCAUGGUGGGGGUUGGAAAGUUUCGGCGGUUGGGGAUGGACUCGCGGCUUAUCAGCUUGUUGGUGGGGUAGUGGCUUACCAAGGCUUUGACGGGUAGCCGGCCUGAGAGGGUGACCGGCCACAUUGGGACUGAGAUACGGCCCAGACUCCUACGGGAGGCAGCAGGGGGGAAUAUUGCACAAUGGGCGGAGGCCUGAUGCAGCAACGCCGCGUGCGGGAUGACGGCCUUCGGGUUGUAAACCGCUUUCGCCUGUGACGAAGCGUGAGUGACGGUAAUGGGUAAAGAAGCACCGGCUAACUACGUG